Molecule: transfer RNA, 76 nt
Filed under: Paracoccus sp. S-4012
Lineage: Bacteria; Pseudomonadati; Pseudomonadota; Alphaproteobacteria; Rhodobacterales; Paracoccaceae
Description: tRNA-Ala
Rfam family: tRNA
About the family: Transfer RNA (tRNA) molecules are approximately 80 nucleotides in length. Their secondary structure includes four short double-helical elements and three loops (D, anti-codon, and T loops).
Source: RNAcentral
GGGGCCUUAGCUCAGCUGGCAGAGCACCUGCUUUGCAAGCAGGGGGUCGGCGGUUCGAACCCGCCAGGCUCCACCA